This 186-nucleotide ribosomal RNA is filed under the name uncultured Spirotrichea. RNAcentral describes it as "partial small subunit ribosomal RNA". It matches the Rfam family "Eukaryotic small subunit ribosomal RNA", at positions 284 to 469 of the family's 1831-position model. Lineage: Eukaryota; Ciliophora; Spirotrichea. The record is from RNAcentral.
CCCGCGACAAACCAUUCAAGUUUCUGCCCCAUCAGCUUUCGACGGUAGUGUAUUGGACUACCGUGGCUUUUACGGGUAACGGAGGAUUAGGGUUCGAUUCCGGAGAGGGAGCCUGAGAAACGGCUACCACAUCUAAGGAAGGCAGCAGGCGCGUAAAUUACCCAAUUCUGAUUCAGAGAGGUAGUG